Long non-coding RNA from Chinchilla lanigera (long-tailed chinchilla), 2814 nucleotides. NCBI's taxonomy places the organism in Eukaryota, Metazoa, Chordata, Mammalia, Rodentia, Chinchillidae. The record is from Ensembl.
UGCCGGCGCUUCUGGAGAUGGGUAUUUUGGGCUCUGCUGGAAGGCAGCUCCUCGAGGACCUGGAAGAGGAAGCAGGAAGGGGGCCCUGCCUCCAGAGCCCCAGUAGUGCUGGGGAGAGCACAGCCACUCCAUAGGCAGCGCCAGUAUGGGAAGGUGCAAGCUGCGGUCUGGAGCCCCUGUGGCAGGCGGCUGGCCCCUCCUCCAGCGGCGAACCAGGAGGUGAGCACGCUUCCGUGUGCGGGAAGAUGCAGCUCCAGAGACACAGCUUCCUUUAAAUAUGCGGCUCCCUCAGCACCUGGGAGUGCGUCCUUCCUGUCUGUCCGCCUGCCCCGGGAAAGAGCAGCUGUCCGUGUCACGUGCACAGACUUGACAGUGCGCCGGACUCGCCAGGGGUUCUGGGUCUCUGUGUCCUCUCCAGGCAUGGAGCCCUCCAUGGCCCACGAGCAGAGUGAACACACAAUUAAAAAAAAAAAACAAAAAACGACUUCUGACAUGCACCUGGCUGGUCUGCAAGCGCGUUUCAGCAGCAAGGGUGAUUCGCUCCCCAGCCUGAGAGCCAGCUCAGCAGUGCUCUGUCGGGCGGCACCCCCUUCCGGGCACAUCCUGCAGCGUGUCUCAGAACAGCUCAAGGGGGGUGGGCUGGGCGUCAGAGAGAGCAUGGGCCGGGUCGCACACACCUGUACCUGCUUCCGGGUCUCCAGGACGUGUGAGCCGUUUCCAGGUCUCAGGGACCAUGCCCACAUCCUCCCGCCUCUGCCUGAGUGGGUGGCAUUGCUGGGCUGCUGCAGAGGUUCCUAAAGGGUCAGUCCUCAGGAAAGGUGGAGACUUGGGCUCCUGCCCUGCCCAACACCCGGCACAGCCCAACCACAGGGAACAGGGCGCCCUCUGGCUCCCCUCCGCGAGGUUCCUGGCACCAGGGCGGGGCAGGGAGGCCCUCAGUGGCUGACCCCAGGAGUCAAGGCUGCGUGUGACCCAAACGCACCCCUUAGGUGGGCUCCCGGUGGCCAGAGCCGCGGGACUCAGGAGGGGCCCCUGAGGGGCGCCAGCCCUCGGGAGCAGGGAGAAGCGUCCCGUGCCCCCGACGCCCUGCAUCCCAGCACAGCCUCCCUGUGUCGAGGGCAGAAUUUCCUUUACGGAUUUUGUAACAGCUACGCCUGCCCAGCACAGGCAGAGGUGAACGGCGUGAGCUGUGCCACCUCCUGGGGCCUGAGCCCCGCAGCGCCAGGCGCUGACCUCGCAGAGCCAGAGGGAGGAUGCAGGCAGCAGCUCUGCAGAGCUCAAGUUAGAGCCUCUGGGGGCUCGUUUCCCUGGAAACCAGCGACUGCGAUCCCCACCCCCACCCCAGGGACCAGAGAUGCCAGGAGCCUGUGAUUCAGUCAUUAUGGGGCCAAGGGCCCCCUAGAGGCAGGUUACGGAACUGCUCCUGUGCAGGUCCCCUGGACCGGCUGUCAAGCCCCAGGGCGGACGAGGGGUCGGGGUGGGCGAUCCUCGCCAGCAAGUGAGCAGCUGGUGGGGUCGGACCAGGCUGCCCUCCCGAGCGUGGAUUCCUGUGUCUCCUCCAGCUGGGGGCUCAGCUUCACCUCGAGGCCUACUUGGACCCCGGGGCAGUCAGGGCCUGCUCCUCCAAGAGGCUGCGGAGACUGACGGGGUGCUGACUGUAAGGUUCCCUCUGGUGACAAAGACACUGGCACAACACCCUGCGAAUGCGUGGCAGCUGCUGACCACCACCUCCAGAGGGUGGCCGAGUGUCUAGGAAAGCUUUUUUUUGUUUUUGGUGCUGGGAAUUGAACUCACGACCUCGUGCUUGCCCAGGCAGGCACUUGUACUGCUGAGCUAUAUCCCUGGCCCAGAAAGCUGUUUCUUAGAGAAGCGGCCACAGGGUCUCACACUCGGCGUGGGGCUCUGAUGUCGGCUGGGCCUGAGGACACAUGCACUCCAGGGGAGGGACGGACGCAGCUGGGGACCAAGGGGCAGCUGGUCACUCCGACUCACAGCACACAGCCGUGCUCACAUACACACUGCUCUGCAUGGCUCUGAGGGGGGCAGCCCCCCAGCCCCUUGGCCUGCAACACAGAGCCAAGGAGGGAAGUGCAUACUGGGGGCCUAGGCACCAUGCACCCCACUCUGCAGGAGCCUCAGGUGGGGCCGAGGGGGUGUGAGGGUGCUCCACAGCACAGGCUGGGGAGGUGUCCUGGGAGACUGAGGUCCUGGAGCCCACUGGGCACUUGGGGACCCCGUGGAAGCAGGUGAGGCAGUGCCCACAAGAUGUGGGCAGCAGACCCUGGGCAGGAGGGUAUGGCAGAGAAACCAGCCAGCAGGUUGGGCACAGGGAGGGAGACGGAGCACGGGCUGAGGGGUCGUGGGGGCUGCACCAGCCCUUGCACGGGAACAGCUGGGAGAAGCAAAGCUCCCGGCCCCUGCUGAAAGCACUGCAGCUGGGCUGGACUGGCUGUCCACACUGCGAGUACGGGCGACUGCCUUUCUUAAGGGGUGGCACUGGUGAGGUUACACCCACUGUCCCAGCACUGAGCUUCACACCCAGCCAUGGUGAGGUAGGGUCUAAGCCACCAGCUUGGUCCGGGCGGGUUCUCACCUGCAGCCCUCACCUCAGCCUCCCAGAAUGCUGGGAUUAAAGCGGGCACCGCGACCGCGUUUCCUUUCCUCACAGCACCAGGGACCCGAAUCAUCCUAGGCACAGGGCCUGCGGAGGACAGGGAGGGGCAGGGAUGCUUGCAAACCAGAGGAGGGCAGCAGGAGCCUCAGGUGAGGUGCAGCACCCCGAGAAGCAGCGCACCUGCGACACCCGAGGCUGUG